UAGCACUCAAAAAUUAAAAUGACCAAAAUAGCACCUUUCAAAGUUUAUCCUUUGUAAAUUUUAAUUUUUUUAUUUUUCAAAAUUUGAAAUCUUAUCCCCAAAACCUCAUUUCUCAACUCUAAACCCUAAACUCUGAACCCUAAACCCUAAACCCUAAACUCUAAACCCUAAACCCUAAACCCUAAACCCCACCCUUUAACU
RNAcentral lists this long non-coding RNA (201 nucleotides) under Brassica napus (rape). RNAcentral's name for it is "long non-coding RNA (BNAP_LNC000929)". The record is from RNAcentral. Lineage: Eukaryota; Viridiplantae; Streptophyta; Magnoliopsida; Brassicales; Brassicaceae.